This 537-nucleotide small RNA is filed under the name Pan troglodytes (chimpanzee). RNAcentral's name for it is "retained intron". The record is from RNAcentral. Lineage: Eukaryota; Metazoa; Chordata; Mammalia; Primates; Hominidae.
GGAAGUCGCCUGUGGGAGGAGGUGGCGGUGGGCGGAACUCGUAGCGAACAGCUCGUGGAGUCCGGCCGGAAGAGCAACCGAGAUGAAGGUGAAGAUGCUGAGCCGGAAUCCGGACAAUUAUGUCCGCGAAACCAAGUUGGACUUACAGAGAGUUCCAAGAAACUAUGAUCCUGCUUUACAUCCUUUUGAGGUCCCACGAGAAUAUGUAAGAGCUUUAAAUGCUACCAAACUGGAACGAGUAUUUGCAAAACCAUUCCUUGCUUCGCUGGAUGGUCACCGUGAUGGAGUCAAUUGCUUGGCAAAGCAUCCAGAGAACCUGGCUACUGUCCUUUCUGGGGCGUGUGAUGGAGAGGCAAGUGUCAAUCUAGAUGAUAUUUUCAACUAAAAGUAGUUAUAUUACAAAUGUUUUCCCUUUAGUUUUUAGUUACUGUAGGUUUUACUUUAUUGGAUUUCAAUUUACUUCUCAAGACUAAAUUUCGUUAGGAAUACUGUUUAGUAUUUUCUUCUUUAAACCUAAGAAAUUAUAAAUGCAGUAGU